This 2575-nucleotide long non-coding RNA is filed under the name Gallus gallus (chicken). The record is from RNAcentral. Lineage: Eukaryota; Metazoa; Chordata; Aves; Galliformes; Phasianidae.
GGAGAGAGUCCAGGGAAGGGUAAAUCAAGAAACCAGAAGAUCUGAGGAGGCAGAUUGGGAUCUGGCAGGAGAGGGUUCUGCUGCAUGUUUUGGUCAUGACUUAGGGAAGGCACAGUCACCGAGUGAUGGAUCUGCACCAAGACUUGCCUCGGUCUUUUCUGCAUAAGAACGUGCGGAAGAAUGAUGGUUGGUGCAAGGGGAAGCCAUGGAAAGCCAUGAGUGCCUGUUCAGAAAUCCAGUGGGAAAGAUGAUUCAUGCCAUGUAGUGACACAAGGGCACAAGUGCUGCACUUCAGUCGCUCCACUGAAUUCUAUGGGAUUUUCUGUCUGCUGGAUCACUGGUAAGUCAGGCUCCAUAUACCGAAAGCGUUUGUUUCAGAAAGAUGUAGGAAAUGCUUGGGCUGUGAUCAAGGAAACAGGAAUUUUAACAUUUGUUUCAACCUGUUCCAAAGUUCAUCUUACAUUUCCUUGACCAUUUGUGUAAUCAAUCUGUUAGUGCUCAGUAGAAACUAGGACAAAAGGAUCUGAUCUUUCUUGUGCAUUUGAUGUAAUUGCUUCUAUUUACAGAGGUGGAAUAGAUUCUGCAAAUUCUAGCAGAUAUUUCAUAAGCAAAAAUGUGAAAUGAUACCCAAAAAGAGGAUUAGAAUCGAACUCCUGUAGUAAAAUUAUCUCCCAGUUUUGUUUUUAGGGCAUGUAAAAAUUACUUUGACAUUGGCUUUUGCCAGCAGAGGAGUCCGUUAAAUACAAUCAAUCUCUUAGCUCAUGUCAGGAAGACAGCGAUAGAGAAGAUGACUCUUACUAAAGCUUCAGGUAGAUGCUGUGCAUCAGACUGGUGAGCAAGAUUAAAUCUCUGAAGGCUCUGGCUGUCUCAAUCUCCAUUGAAGUUGCUGGGAUCUGAAGACACAACUUUCUUAUUACGGUGCUGUUUGCUAUAAGUGUUAAUAUGGUCAAAGGAAGACUACCCACCAAAGACUGUACACAAGAACUCCUUUGAAAUAACCAAAGUGGAGCUGGUAGGACUGAGUUUGAAGUCUGACUCAGACUGUUAAAAAACAGAAGAGCCCACCCCAGAGCAGUUCCUUAUGGCAAUUAAAAAAUAACUCCAGUAAGCAGGCACAGCCAUUGUGGAAAGCCACUGUAGCCCUUAUACUGGCCCCUGAAACAUCAUGGGACAACACAGCAAGGUUUCAAGAUACUCAGGCCUCUCAUUCAUAGACAAGAGUUUAAAAUUCUACAAUGAAGAGAAACAGAGCCAGAAGACUCCUCUCAGUCAUGGAAAACACACUCUGCAACAGAUGGAAAGAGAAUAGAGGAAAUUAAAUUACUUUGCUCUGCCAAGCCUACAUAAGAAGUCCACAUUACAGAGAUGCACCAAAUACAAGUGACUCUGCACCUUUGACAACACAAGUACAAACGAGGGCAACCACACUGACCAGUCAAAUGAAGAAGAGGGAAGAGGGGGGAGAAAGAGGAAGAUGAUUUAAUAGGGACCACCAGAUGGGGAUGUGACCACCCAGAGGAGAAUACAACGCAUGCGCCGGAGGGGAGGGACUUGAUUAAUGAAUAUGUAGUGGGGUUCAACGUAACCUGUUGAAUAUGUAUGAACUUGACUUACAAAUAUGUAGCAUUUCUGUAGACCGAUAUGCAAGUUAGGUGGAGCUAUCCCCCUUGCAUCCAGUUCUGCGCAGCGUUGAUUAAAACACACCUGAUUUUAUAACUACUUUGUGGUUAUAGAGUUUGAUUCUGCAAGUCAGUAAUGCUAGAUGGCUUUUCUCAGUCACAAGAAAGGUAUUUUUCUAUGUCAAGCAAUUCCCUUUCACUUUCCUGCUCUUCAAGUUCUCCAGGAGACAGGGCUGUACAGAAUGCAUUGCAUACGGUACAAGUGGGAUGACACAUCUCCAUGGCAAGGUGCCCUUUGAACCACGCUCUGGAAGUAUGAUCUGAAGAGCCCUCAGGCUCAAGGAUUUCUCUUCUCUUGCACUAAGCCAGCACUCACAUCGGUGCUGGCUGCACACCUCUGAGGAAAGAGCUGCAAAACCCACUAGGCAGCUCUCUGUAUUUGCAAGAUUCUUAAUUCAUCCCAGUGUUUACAAGUUCUGUGAAAAACAAAACAACAACAAAGAAGAUCCUACCAAAACUCAGAAAUUGCAACCUUUCAUGUAGACCACUCAGUUCUGAAACAGUAACAAUUCCCAUAGACUUUAGAUAUUUUCCCAGGAAGGAAAACAAGCCUGUAGUUCCAACAUAGCAAAGCAUCACUGUUAAAAAGUUAGAACAUCUUCUAAAUCAAUUGCUGCUGCAACAUAGCGUUUUGAAUACUGUCCAGAUGAGUAUGAGUAGAAAGGUCUCUUCCUAGAAAUACCAAAAUAGUAUUUUCAUUGCUAUUUGUAGUAACAGUGGCAACAAAUUUAUCAGCUUCUACUGCAUCCUGCUUUACAGGUGCUAAUUCUCCUUUGGAGUGCAGAUGCAUAAGCUAACAAAGGCAGGAAUAACUCCCUUUGUCCCAGGGGAAGGGAUGGCUGCUGCAGAAUCCCAUUUCCCGCAGUGGGAAGCUGCUGCUCUGAACUCUCCUGUAA